UUAGAUCAGAAGUGAGAAUGUUGACAUGAGUAGCGAUAAAGAGGGUGAGAGACCCUCUCGCCGUAAGUCCAAGGGUUCCUGCUUAAAGCUAAUCUGAGCAGGGUAAGCCGGCCCCUAAGGCGAGGCCGAAAGGCGUAGUCGAUGGGAACCACGUUAAUAUUCGUGGGCCAGGAGGAAGUGACGGAUCUCAAAGAUUGUCUGCCCUUAUCGGAUUGGGUGGGCCGUUCAGAGGUUCCAGGAAAUAGCCCUCCAUGAGACCGUACCCUAAACCGACACAGGUGGACUGGUAGAGUAUACCAAGGCGCUUGGGAGAACCACAUUUAAGGAACUCGGCAAAAUGCCUCCGUAAGUUCGCGAGAAGGAGGCCCUGUCUUUACGCAAGUAGAGGCAGGGGGCGCAAACUAGGGGGUGGCGACUGUUUACUUAAAACACAGGGCUGUGCGAAGCCGUAAGGCGACGUAUACAGUCUGACGCCUGCCCGGUGCUGGAAGGUUAAAAGGAGGGGUGCAAGCUCUGAAUUGAAGCCCCAGUAAACGGCGGCCGUAACUAUAACGGUCCUAGGGUAGCGAAAUUCCUUGUCGGGUAAGUUCCGACCUGCACGAAUGGCGUAACGAUCUCCCCGCUGUCUCAAAUGUGGACUCAGCGAAAUUGAACUGUGUGUCAAGAUGCACACUACCCGCGGUUAGACGGAAAGACCCCAUGCACCUUUACUCCAGCUUUGCACUGGUAUCAGGAUUGUGAUGUGCAGGAUAGGUGGUAGGCAUCGAAGCGGGGACGCCAGUCUUCGUGGAGCCUCCCUUGAGAUACCACCCUUCGCACUCUUGAUAUCUAACCGCGGUCCCUUAUCGGGAUCCGGGACCCUGCAUAGUGGGGAGUUUGACUGGGGCGGUCGCCUCCCAAACAGUAACGGAGGCGCGCGAAGGUAGGCUCAGACCGGUCGGAAAUCGGUCGUUGAGUGCAAUGGCAGAAGCCUGCCUGACUGCAAGUCUGACAAGACGAGCAGAGACGAAAGUCGGUCAUAGUGAUCCGGUGGUCCCAAGUGGGAGGGCCAUCGCUCAACGGAUAAAAGGUACGCUGGGGAUAACAGGCUGAUGAUGCCCAAGAGUCCAUAUCGACGGCAUCGUUUGGCACCUCGAUGUCGGCUCAUCUCAUCCUGGGGCUGGAGCAGGUCCCAAGGGUAUGGCUGUUCGCCAUUUAAAGAGGUACGUGAGCUGGGUUUAGAACGUCGUGAGACAGUUCGGUCCCUAUCUGCCGUGGGUGUAGGAGAUUUGAGAAGAGUUGCCCCUAGUACGAGAGGACCGGGGUGAACGAACCACUGGUGGACCAGUUAUCGUGCCAACGGUAGUGCUGGGUAGCUAUGUUCGGACAGGAUAACCGCUGAAGGCAUCUAAGCGGGAAGCCCCCUUCAAAACAAGAUCUCCCUUGAGAGCCGUGGAAGACCACCACGUCGAUAGGCCAGAGAUGUAAGUGCAGCAAUGCAUUCAGUUGACUGGUACUAAUUGCUC
RNAcentral lists this ribosomal RNA (1505 nucleotides) under metagenome. RNAcentral describes it as "bacterial LSU rRNA". It matches the Rfam family "Bacterial large subunit ribosomal RNA", at positions 1277 to 2910 of the family's 2925-position model. The record is from RNAcentral.